GUAGGUGGCAAGCGUUGUCCGGAAUUAUUGGGCGUAAAGCGCGCGCAGGCGGUUCUUUAAGUCUGAUGUGAAAGCCCACGGCUCAACCGUGGAGGGUCAUUGGAAACUGGAGAACUUGAGUACAGAAGAGGAAAGCGGAAUUCCGCGUGUAGCGGUGAAAUGCGUAGAGAUGUGGAGGAACACCAGUGGCGAAGGCGGCUUUCUGGUCUGUAACUGACGCUGAGGCGCGAAAGCGUGGGGAGCAAACAGAAUUAGAUACCCUGGUAGUCCACGCCGUAAACGAUGAGUGCUAAGUGUUAGGGGGGUUUCCGCCCCCCUUAGUGCUGCAGCUAACGCAUUAAGCACUCCGCCUGGGAGUACGGCCGCAAGGCUG
Molecule: ribosomal RNA, 373 nt
Filed under: uncultured organism
Description: partial 16S ribosomal RNA
Rfam family: Bacterial small subunit ribosomal RNA
Source: RNAcentral